This 472-nucleotide ribosomal RNA is filed under the name uncultured bacterium. Its description in RNAcentral is "partial 16S ribosomal RNA". It matches the Rfam family "Bacterial small subunit ribosomal RNA", at positions 28 to 507 of the family's 1533-position model. The record is from RNAcentral.
GACGAACGCUGGCGGCGUGCUUAACACAUGCCAGUCGAACGCUGAAGCUUGGUGCUUGCACUGGGUGGAUGAGUGGCGAACGGGUGAGUAAUACGUGAGUAACCUGCCCUUGACUCUGGGAUAAGCCUGGGAAACUGGGUCUAAUACUGGAUACGACAUGUCACCGCAUGGUGGUGUGUGGAAAGGGUUUUACUGGUUUUGGAUGGGCUCACGGCCUAUCAGCUUGUUGGUGGGGUAAUGGCUCACCAAGGCGACGACGGGUAGCCGGCCUGAGAGGGUGGCCGCCCACAGGGGGACGACGAGAGGGCCCAGCCGCGGAGGGGGGACAGGGGGGGGAAUUAUUGCAAAGUGGGGGGGGGCGGGAGGCGGCGGCGCCGGGGGGGGAAGGACGGCUUGGGGGUUAAAAACCUCUUCCGGCAGAAAAGAAGAGAAAGGGACGGUACGUAAAGAAGAAGCGCCGGCUAACUACGUG